UCUAGCCUUGAUGCUCCUGUCUGCCAACGUGAUCUGGAGACCACUGGGUGCACUGACCUUGCUGGCAUCAUCCUAGUGAGCGCCAGCACCUGGAAGGAGGACCUUGGCAGUAUUGAGGACCUGAGGCCUAUGGAGACUUCACUGCAUACACAGGGUGUGGUGCUGUCUAUACUCAAUGGAAAGUCAAAGUUAAAAUAAAAGCCUGGGAUCCUGCCCAGCACAUUCCCUGCUGCUUCCUUGGGGGAGGACGUCUGACUGCCGUCCUGCACUGCCUGACUGCCAGAUCAAU
This 289-nucleotide long non-coding RNA is filed under the name Struthio camelus australis. Its description in RNAcentral is "lncRNA (ENSSCUG00000009693.1)". The record is from RNAcentral. Lineage: Eukaryota; Metazoa; Chordata; Aves; Struthioniformes; Struthionidae.